RNAcentral lists this ribosomal RNA (784 nucleotides) under uncultured Planctomycetota bacterium. Its description in RNAcentral is "bacterial SSU rRNA". It matches the Rfam family "Bacterial small subunit ribosomal RNA", at positions 75 to 866 of the family's 1533-position model. Lineage: Bacteria; Pseudomonadati; Planctomycetota. The record is from RNAcentral.
CGGGCUUGCUUGCGGGGGGAAGUGGCGAAAGGGGCAGUAAGGCGUGGGUAACCUACCCCAGGGUCCGGCAUAGCCGUCCUAACGGACGGGUAAUACCGGGCGACGUAACGCGAUCGCCUGACCGUGUUACCAAAGGUUUUCCGCCCCGGGAGGGGCCCACGUGGUAUUAGCUUGUUGGUGGGGUAACGGCCCACCAAGGCCAAGAUGCCUAGCGGGUGUGAGAGCACGACCCGCGCCACUGGCACUGAGACACUGGCCAGACUCCUACGGGAGGCUGCAGUCGAGGAUCUUCGGCAAUGGGCGCAAGCCUGACCGAGCGACGCCGCGUGCGCGAUGAAGGCCUUCGGGUUGUAAAGCGCUGUCGAGGGGGAGGAAAGCCCGCAAGGGUCUGACCUAUCCCUGGAGGAAGCACGGGCUAAGUUCGUGCCAGCAGCCGCGGUAAGACGAACCGUGCGAACGUUGUUCGGAUUCACUGGGCUUAAAGGGCGCGUAGGCGGGUCCUAAAGUCCGGGGUGAAAUCCUCUCGCUUAACGAGAGAACUGCCCCGGAUACUGAGGAUCUCGAGGAAGGUAGGGGCAUGUGGAACUUCCGGUGGAGCGGUGAAAUGCGUAGAUAUCGGAAGGAACGCCGGUGGCGAAAGCGACGUGCUGGACCUUUUCUGACGCUGAGGCGCGAAAGCCAGGGGAGCAAACGGGAUUAGAUACCCCGGUAGUCCUGGCCCUAAACGAUGGGUACUAGAUUGUAGACUGACAUGGGUUUACAAUCGAAGCUAAAGUGUUAAGUA